UACGGAGGGAGCUAGCGUUGUUCGGAAUUACUGGGCGUAAAGCGCACGUAGGCGGCUUUGUAAGUUAGAGGUGAAAGCCCGGGGCUCAACUCCGGAACUGCCUUUAAGACUGCAUCGCUUGAAUCCAGGAGAGGUGGGUGGAAUUCCGAGUGUAGAGGUGAAAUUCGUAGAUAUUCGGAAGAACACCAGUGGCGAAGGCGGCUCACUGGACUGGUACUGACGCUGAGGCGCGAAAGCGUGGGGAGCAAACGGG
Molecule: ribosomal RNA, 253 nt
Filed under: uncultured bacterium
Lineage: Bacteria
Description: partial 16S ribosomal RNA
Rfam family: Bacterial small subunit ribosomal RNA
Source: RNAcentral